Molecule: ribosomal RNA, 440 nt
Filed under: uncultured bacterium
Lineage: Bacteria
Description: partial 16S ribosomal RNA
Rfam family: Bacterial small subunit ribosomal RNA
Source: RNAcentral
CCUACGGGUGGCAGCAGUGGGGAAUAUUGCACAAUGGGGGAAACCCUGAUGCAGCGACGCCGCGUGAGUGAAGAAGUAUUUCGUUAUGUAAAGCUCUAUCAGCAGGGAAGAAAAUGACGGUACCUGAGUAAGAAGCCCCGGCUAACUACGUGCCAGCAGCCGCGGUAAUACGGAGGGGGCAAGCGUUAUCCGGAUUUACUGGGUGUAAAGGGAGCGUAGACGGCAGUGCAAGUCUGGAGUGAAAGGCGGGGGCUCAACCCCCGGACUGCUCUGGAAACUGUACGGCUGGAGUGCAGGAGAGGUAAGUGGAAUUCCUAGUGUAGCGGUGAAAUGCGUAGAUAUUAGGAGGAACACCAGUGGCGAAGGCGGGUUACUGGACUGUAACUGACGUUGAGGCUCGAAGGCGUGGGGAGCGAACAGGAUUAGAUACCCUAGUAGUC